Molecule: long non-coding RNA, 420 nt
Organism: Ictalurus punctatus (channel catfish)
Lineage: Eukaryota; Metazoa; Chordata; Actinopteri; Siluriformes; Ictaluridae
Source: Ensembl
UUCCCCACCAGCAGAGGUCGCAAUCACUCGAAUUCUAGCAUGACCUCUGACAUGCACUUCCUGGUUACUUCCUGGUUUGUCACUUACAUAAGCACAUAGAGUCUAUCCCAAUUCCAAAUUUUUAGGUUCUUCUCUCUGGCUGCUCGGAUUUUGGUCUUCAGCGAUGCUGGCUAAGUAAUGUCGAACAAUGCAGCGGCUGGGGAACUGAUCUGUUGCUACUGGCAACAGGGGAGGCGAAGGAAUCCAUGGCAACAAGCUCCAGCGCUCUCCGUUGCCUUCAGUCGUCCACAUCCAUUUCGAAUCGACCCAAAAUUCAGGAUGUUCUACAGUAGCUUUCGCAGCCCGGGAGGUGGCGGCUCGGCGUUUCCAGCUGAAUGGAAGUUUCAGGGGAGAAAUUUGAGCGCACGCAAUCUCUUUUGA